RNAcentral lists this ribosomal RNA (470 nucleotides) under Kalcapion pallipes. RNAcentral's name for it is "partial 16S ribosomal RNA". The record is from RNAcentral. Lineage: Eukaryota; Metazoa; Arthropoda; Insecta; Coleoptera; Brentidae.
CUAUUGAAAAUAAUUUUAGGUUUAGCCUGCCCAAUGAAAAUUUAAAUGGCCGCAGUAUAUUAACUGUGCAAAGGUAGCAUAAUCAUUUGUUUUUUAAUUGAAAGCUGGAAUGAAAGGUUGAAUGAGAAAAUAACUGUCUCUAAUUANAUUUUUUAAAAUUUUAUUUUUAAGUAAAAAAGCUUAAAUAUUUUUUGAAGACGAGAAGACCCUAUAGAGUUUGAUAGUUUAAAUUUUGGAUAGUBUGGAAUUAAUAUUUUUAAUUUAUAAAAUUAUUUAAUUGGGGUGAUUGAAAAAUUUAAUUAACUUUUUUUUUAUUUUUACAUAAAUUAAUGAAUAAUUGAUCCUUAAAAAGAUUAAAAGAAUAAAUUACCUUAGGGAUAACAGCGUAAUUUUUUUUUAGAGUUCAAAUUAAAAAAAAAGAUUGCGACCUCGAUGUUGGAUUAAAAUAAAUAAUUGGUGAAGAAGCUAAU